UACGUAGGAUGCAAGCGUUGUCCGGAAUUACUGGGCGUAAAGCGCGCGCAGGUGGUUUGUUAAGUGAGACGUGAAAUCUCCCGGCCUAACUGGGAGGGGUCGUUUCAAACUGGGAGACUUGAGGACUGCAGAGGUGGGUGGAAUUCCUGGUGUAGUGGUGAAAUGCGUAGAGAUCAGGAGGAACACCGGUGGCGAAGGCGGCCCACUGGGCAGUCACUGACGCUGAGGCGCGAAAGCUCGGGGAGCGAACGGG
This 253-nucleotide ribosomal RNA is filed under the name uncultured bacterium. Its description in RNAcentral is "partial 16S ribosomal RNA". It matches the Rfam family "Bacterial small subunit ribosomal RNA", at positions 524 to 776 of the family's 1533-position model. The record is from RNAcentral.